RNAcentral lists this long non-coding RNA (4857 nucleotides) under Equus caballus (horse). RNAcentral describes it as "lncRNA (ENSECAG00000049096.1)". Lineage: Eukaryota; Metazoa; Chordata; Mammalia; Perissodactyla; Equidae. The record is from RNAcentral.
CUGAGGUGCAGGACACGAGCCGGGAGAGACCCUCCAGGCCUCAGUGCCCGUGCUGAGGAUGUGCGGAGCCCAAAACUGGGGACGACUCGUCCGUGGCGUGUCUUUAGAGAGAGUGUCAGGUCAGAGGAGGUUGAAAGGGCUUUCCGGGGUGCCAGCCAGAUGGCUGAGUGCCGCUUGGAGGCACAAGGGGAGUCCCAGUGAGACACAGAGGUGGCCCUAGCUUGGGUGCGGCCGGGGAAGAGCAGAUGGGCAUGGAGAGCUUUGGGAGGCAGCAGGACUUGGGGAUGGGAUGCAGGAUGCAAAAGGAGGGGCGGGUUCACGUGGGCUUCAGGUUCUGGCUUAAGGCCCCAGCGCUGGGGAGGAGCAGGAGAGCAGGACAGAACCUGCUUCAGGUCAGGUUCCAGCCAAGCUGGAGGUGCCUCUUGGGAUCUAGCCAGGGAUGUCCAACAGGUGGCCGAGUAGGUAGGUUCCAAGUGGAGAAGAACGAGGCUGGCCAGGAAGAUGUAUAUAACAGCUGCCAACAUUUAAAUUCAGUCAAGAUCAGCUAAUUCUGCUCUGAGAGACCUGAAUAAGGGGAGAGACCAUUCUAACACGGAUGCCGUCCAGACAGUGCCUCUCAGAAAGGGAACCUAAAGACACGUUUCCAUCAUACCCCGGUGCCCUGUGACAGCCGUCAGCAGUCCCCUCAUGGAUGCCCCAACAGUGACCCUGGCCACCCCGCGGAGGAACAGCUGGAGGACUGCCGAUCGGACCCCUCCAGUCCUGGAGCCGCUGUGCUGGAGUGGAAUCUGAAGAGAGAUGCCUCUCCGUGUUAAAUGUUUAAAAAUAAAUGAAGAUGCUAUACUCUAGAAUUACAUGUAGAUAUUCUAUAUGCAUAUAUGUGCUCAUCGACCAUAGUCCCAUAUUUUUCUUAAAAUAGACAGUGAUAUUGGCAGGCACAGUAGGAGCACAAGGCAUCUAUAUUGUUCAAGACAAGUUUGAGACACUGGAAAAAAGAUUCUUGUGUGUAUUGGACAGAGUGAAGAAGCUAAGCACUGUAAUAGAAACCGCCGACGUUCAGAAGGACUGUCGGGGUGAUGUCAGAACAAGCAGAGGUGGAGUUGAGGUUGGCAAAGUGUUAAUACUAUGGCCUCUCCUUGUCUUAGUGGGUAUUUAAAAUAGUAAAUGAAGAGAGGCAGGAGGUGGCCUUCAGGUGCUGUGGAAACCAGGCGUGAUGGAGUAGGGGCCUCGACAAGACCCUCACUGUUCAGAGGUUCAGUCGCACCCCCCCAGGGGCUGUGUGCAUUCCCCACGUGCUUGCUCCUGCUUUCCACCACUUGUACUCAGUGAGUCCGGCCGAGGAAACACGUCCGUGGGAAUGCUUAUAUUCUGCUUCAGAAGAGAGAGCUAGUUGAACACUAAGAAAAGCAGGCUUCUUUGUUUAUUCUCAGGACCUUUUUGUAACAGGGCUACAUUCUGCAAACUGCUCACAAAGGAAGACUGCCUGUCUUAACAAAUUCUCUAGCCACUGACCCCUCCCGAUCUGGACCUGUUUUCGGAAUGGCAGGAGAAUCCCUGAGCAGAUUGGGGGCCCUAGAUCACCAGGUGCUGGGGCCCUGCAACUUUGUCCUCCCUCCCUGCCCUGCCUACCCCGUUCCGUCUGUCCCUGCACCACCCCAGCGAGUAGGUGUCUUUUCUUCUUGGGCCUGGGGACCUCCACAGGACGAGGACCUGCAUUCCCAGCAUGUGGGGGUCCCCAGGCCCGUGGUGGGGGUGGCUUUAUAUACCUCUUCCUCAGUCACGCAAAUGCAAGUUUUUGUGGUGGAGGUUAAGGCCUGUGACAAAGGAUCUUAAACCUUGCAGUGUAUGCAGUGAACGUUGUAUUCCACAGAUAUAAAUAUUUUCUUUUCCUAUUACCGUGACACUGUGUGUGAUGGUAAUAUUUCUGAGAGUUUCAGAUUUUUGCACAUAUGAUUUUAUGCAUUAUCAAAAGUUACUGCUGCCUUGAAUGAAAAUGUUCUGUGAAAUUUUUUGCAAAAGCUUUACUAGGUUUUUUUUAAUUGUGAAAUUUUGUAAAGGCAGGAAAUGGAUUAAAAACGAGCAUGCUAAGUAUAUUUUUCAAAAAAGCAAUAAUUUUACAUGUACAGAAAUUAUCCUAACCUUUAAUACUGGUGAGAGCGACCGUUUACUUAAUACAGUAAUGGAUUAGUGCAGUUUUUGUAGAAAAUGGGCUUCUGAUACAAAGACUUGUUUAAACACACACACACACACACACACACACACACACACCCUAAAGUGUGGUUUUCUUGUUCUAAUGAUUUGUUGAAUUAUUAUAUUAUUAUUAUUAUUGUUGUUGUUAUUAGUUGAUGUUUGGUUCUGGAUUCUACUUGUUACUGAGUUUAAAUUACUUGACGGUUCAGGUUACUUUGCAGCAUUUGCAAACAAUGCAAUGUAACUGGCUAGCUUAUACACACACAGGUAUAUAUACAUAUAUUGACAUGAUAUAUGUGUAUAUAUAUAUACUUUUUUUACUUAUUUUUUCCUGAUACUCUUACACCAGAUGUGUACCAGAAUUAUCUGUUGUGUUGGUGUCGUUAGGAAUGUCUGUGCAGAUACUAUAAAGCGGCUGUAAUUGACUGUUCUGUAAAGUUAUUUUGAGCAAAGAUACAUUACAGAGAUACAUUCCUUUGUUCACCUUAGAAAUCAAAAUGCCUUUCUGUUGAUUUAUGUUGGAUCAUUUCGAUAGUUUCCCCAAAGUGAUAAUUUCUGCAUUUUCUGGCUUUUAUUUUCUUGGUUGAAAGUGAAUGGUGACAGUUCAGGAAUGCACAGGGGCUAGUGAUUCAGUCCUGUCUGUUUCUCUGUGUUUUAGUUAUUAAAAGAAAUUCUGUACCCAAAGUGACACGGAGGUGUCGUGUCCAUUUUUAUGUCUCAGCAGUGGCACGUGGGAGCCCAGCUGGCAUUCCGAGCUGGGUGUGUCCUCCGGGAGACCUCUUCCCAGGGAGCCUGGUGGAGAAAAGGGGUCGUUCCCGGGGUCCGGUGGGCAGAGCGUGCAACUCGAGUCAGUUUAAACGUUCGUGUGCUGCACAGAGCACAGAAAUAAGAUUUUCACUUGAUUACACAGACGGGAGGGGACCCCCCGAGAAUGCUGUCGUCCGAGACAAGCUGUGUUCGGGCCUGAUGUCGGUUCCUUUCUUCCACUGAGAUCAUCAGUAUUGUAUCGGUUUGUUAAUGCGUUUAUGUCAGUUCGACCAUAGUAUUUAAUAUGAUUUGUGUUUUCUUAUUUAUUUAGCCAAUAUGUUUUGAUUCGCUUUUUUUCGGAUGAUAAUUUCCGCGUGAUCUCUCCUGUAAGUCACCUUCUGACUGUUACAAACUUUCUACUACCUCUGCCAGUCUGCUGUUUCCUUGUUUCUUAACAGCAUUUUUACAGUGUUGGCGUCUAAUGUAACUUAGACAAUAAAGGGUUUGGUUGUCUACACCGCGGCUUCUCCGUGUGUCUCCCCCGCCCCCGCCUGCUCUCCGACUGCCCCUGGCGCGGCUCUGCUGGUCUGGCUCCCUUGCUCGCCCUCUCCUCCUCCCCGCUCUCGUCUCUUACUCGUUGUUGAAUUUCAAAUAAUACGCAAAUAAUGAGCUUAUAGAAAUCUUUCAGGUUAUUCACUCAUAUUCCUUAAUUUGAAGAAUGAACAUUUAAAUUCUCUGAAAAGUCAUCUUCUCUGGGAAAUCAUCAGCUGUUCUGUCACUUUUCUGCCUGGUCCCCGGAAGGUCCUCUGGCAAUCUCAGAUGGAUAAAUUUCACCUUGGUCCAAAUGCAGCACAAACUUUCAAGCCAAGUGGACUUUGCCUUUUUGGUUUGGAAAAGUAUUAAAUGCUUUAACAGGUCUCCCCAAUAUUUACUUAUUUAUUUUUUAAACCAAGAAAGACACUGGUUUCCUGAAAAGAAGCUGCUCUAGGAAAUUGACCUGGGAAUUACACAUGGCCACUUGGUAAGAUACGAGAACGCUGAUUUUGCCCAGUAUGUCAAGAGCCAUCUUCAAAUUUGGCCCCUCUGUCACGUUGCAUAAGGUUAUAUAAACAUCUGUAUAAAGGCCCAGGCACACGCAGAUGUAAAACUCAGCACUUCGUUAGGAUGUCGUGGUGGACACAGCGAGUAGCAGGUUUCGCCUCUCGGUUCCUUUCCAGGAGGCUGGCCCCAGGAGCUUCACGUGCUUUCCCCCAGGAGAUAGCCUGUGGCUCCUGGGAUGAGCGUCUUCUGGAUCACAGAGGAUGACCUAAGUUGUCAGUCCGUGCCUGAAAAACAGUACACCUCCUGGGUUUUCAUAGCCCGACUCUCUUUACCAAUAUUCCUUCUUUAAAACAAGACAAAUAACCACCCCAAACCCCGAGAACUUUCCAUAAUGUGCAAGAAAGAAGAACCGCAUUUCUAAACUUUACCUUUCCACUCUCAAAUGUCUGCGUGUCGGAGGUAGUGGCUGUUGCUUGACUGCGUUUAAAUUUGGUGAGCUCUAAUAGCAGAACAGUUUGUUCACUCGGCAAAAGACAAGAAAAAUCAUCCCAGGCCAGGAUUCCAGUGAUGGUGUAGGUGUCCCGAGCCCCGUAGCAUGCCCGUGGGAAGUGACCGGGGGAAAAUGUUCAUUCUUCAUCAACUUUGCUAAUUAUACUUUGAGGCAGUAAAAUGCAAAAGACCAUAGAAUUUGUAUUUCUUUUUUUAAAUACAAUUUAUAACAUUAUAUUUUGUACUCUUUAUAUUAGAAUUUGUAACUAGAUUGAUGUAUUUAACUCUAUUUCUGAAAAAAUAAUGUUUCAGUUGUGUGAUAAAAAUAUUUAGAUAAAACAUAUUCACUCUAUUGGAAUUUGAAAUCAAUAAAAACAUCUUGGAGUUCUU